Dermacentor silvarum is the source of this 1224-nucleotide long non-coding RNA. RefSeq lists it as uncharacterized. The transcript is spliced from 6 exons. The record is from RefSeq and is a predicted model, not a curated record. NCBI's taxonomy places the organism in Eukaryota, Metazoa, Arthropoda, Arachnida, Ixodida, Ixodidae.
GCUAAGAAAACACGUGCGUGGGUUGUACAAUAGUCAUAAGCAGAACUGGCACAUAAGAGUGUGCUGUUAUACAGAAAAUUGUUUUCUGAGAACUGUCUUUUGACGCGGGACUUCCAUCUUGCUUCUACGAACAAUGCUCGGCAGCGGUGCCUACAAGCCGUCUGCGCAUUUUAGUUGGUUUCACAUGACUCACAAUGAGACUUAGUUGCUUUCUUGUUCUUCUAGUAUGGGAGACCAACACGCACGAUAGCGCCGACGGUGUCUUGUUCUCAUCAAGGACCACGUAAGGUGUAUUCUGCCGCACGUCAUGGCUCUUCCACGCAAAAUGGGCGCACCUUCUCUAAACACGUAACAUGGACAAGUUCUCUCCGCUGCAGCGGGGGAGCUUAAGCAGCACGAGCUUGAUAUGGGCGAGUUGGUGUAACAUACUUUUGCGCUGUUUUUUUUUCUUCAAUGGAGCGUAAGGGUUGAUCCACUUCAGAGCUGAGAGCAGCACAAGCCGCAGCUUGCUAUCGAAGGCGAGGAAAGCAUUCGGCUUCUAUUUGCAAGGCACCGCUGAAGUGACCCCGAGUGGCCAAAGCCAGGGAAAAGCUAACGCUUGCGCCGCCGCUUCCGAAAUCAAAUUUACAGCGUACCAACUCACGGCGCCAUGAAGAAAUCUUGCAUCGCCAAGUAAAAAAUGCUACAGUGUCCCGCGGGAAACAGAGGCAAUCAAGGCGAUGUACCCAGCGACCGGAUUAUGAAAAAUGCUCACCUGUGAAAUUGGCUUAUUAUUUUGAUAUUAAAACAAGAAGCUGUAAGCAGUUUUUCUCUGGAGGUUGUGCAAAAAACAGCAACCGUUUUGCCACAGAGGGGGAGUGCCAGAACAUGUGCCUGGCGAGCAGCGAGCGACGACCAAUUUGUCACGUGUAUCCGAAUGCUCAACUGUGCCAAGGCCAGUCCUCAGUUAUGGGCCUUCGAUUACAUCCGGAACAUCUGCCGGCGAUAUAAGCUCGGUUAUUGCGCAGGAAGCGCGAACCACUUUCCAACGUGUGAGGCGUGCAUGGAAAGAUGCAGCAAUUUGGACGCAAACAGAUUUUGUCGUAUGAUGUAUGAGGUAAUACGAAAGAGGAGGAGAAGGCACGGAUGAUAACAACCUACACCGGUACCAACUUAAGGCAACUGCGUUGAUCUGCUUGUGAGAUAUAACUAGAUGCACGAAAUAACGUGUUUCAGCUCAUAGUG